UUCACGCCACUUAUGGUUACGCCUCUUAAGUCGUUAAAGUGUUUUAUCAACGAGACCAUUUGUUCAAUGUACGUGGGCAAAGGUAAAAUUAUUUCAAAAUCGAUAAAAUAUCACAAUACCUACGAUGAUAAUCGGGGUUCGAAACUUGUAGCAUUUGCUUAUUUGUUUAACAUGAAAUUGAAUCCAGCGAAGUGCUAUGGAAAUGUACGCCAUGUUACGAGUUCAAGUAUAUACAAUUUAAAACUGCAUCUUUGUUUUGCUUAUUUC
Non-coding RNA from Cinara cedri, 267 nucleotides. The record is from the annotation of a GenBank genome assembly. NCBI's taxonomy places the organism in Eukaryota, Metazoa, Arthropoda, Insecta, Hemiptera, Aphididae.